GUGGGGAAUCUUCCGCAAUGGACGAAAGUCUGACGGAGCGACGCCGCGUGAGUGAAGAAGGCCUUCGGGUCGUAAAGCUCUGUCAUCAGGGACGAACGGCCGGUGGAGUGGAAAGCCACCGGAUUGACGGUACCUGAGAAGGAAGCCACGGCUAACUACGUGCCAGCAGCCGCGGUAAUACGUAGGUGGCAAGCGUUGUCCGGAAUUAUUGGGCGUAAAGCGCGCGCAGGUGGGAUCUUAAGUCCAUUUUGAAAGUUCGGAGCUCAACGACGUGAUGGGAUGGAAACUGGGAUUGUUGAGUACCGGAGAGGAAAGCGGAAUUCCCCGUGUAGCGGUGAAAUGCGUAGAUAUGGGGAGGAACACCAGUGGUGAAGGUGGCUUUCUGGACGGUGUCUGACACUGAGGCGCGAAAGCCAGGGGAGCGAACGGGAUUAGAUACCCGUGUAGUCC
Molecule: ribosomal RNA, 450 nt
Filed under: uncultured bacterium
Lineage: Bacteria
Description: partial 16S ribosomal RNA
Rfam family: Bacterial small subunit ribosomal RNA
Source: RNAcentral